CUAAGUCCUGUGAAAGGAGAAUUAAGCGAAAUAAUUCCUCAAAAUGCAACAAAAGAGAAGAAGCUUAAUGUGAUAUGAAAAGCCUGAGGAUGAGUGCAAACAAAAAGUUUACUGAGGAUUGGCUGACAGAGUGAUAUUUGGGCAAGAUCUGAGAUGCAUAUUGAACUGGGGAUGGACUAAACCAAAAUUGCAGAUCUGAACACCAGCAAAACUUUGGAUCCAGCACCACACUUGGUUACGUCCUUUCUUGUG
Gopherus evgoodei (Goodes thornscrub tortoise) is the source of this 252-nucleotide long non-coding RNA. RefSeq lists it as uncharacterized. NCBI's taxonomy places the organism in Eukaryota, Metazoa, Chordata, Testudines, Testudinidae. The transcript is spliced from 3 exons. The record is from RefSeq and is a predicted model, not a curated record.